Molecule: transfer RNA, 100 nt
Filed under: Panus rudis PR-1116 ss-1
Lineage: Eukaryota; Fungi; Basidiomycota; Agaricomycetes; Polyporales; Panaceae
Description: tRNA-Glu
Rfam family: tRNA
About the family: Transfer RNA (tRNA) molecules are approximately 80 nucleotides in length. Their secondary structure includes four short double-helical elements and three loops (D, anti-codon, and T loops). Further hydrogen bonds mediate the characteristic L-shaped molecular structure. tRNAs have two regions of fundamental functional importance: the anti-codon, which is responsible for specific mRNA codon recognition, and the 3' end, to which the tRNAs corresponding amino acid is attached (by aminoacyl-tRNA synthetases). tRNAs cope with the degeneracy of the genetic code in two manners: having more than one tRNA (with a specific anti-codon) for a particular amino acid; and 'wobble' base-pairing, i.e. permitting non-standard base-pairing at the 3rd anti-codon position.
Source: RNAcentral
UCGGAUAUGGUGUAAUGGCUAACAUUACCGCCUCUCACUUUGAGAGUCAAUUGACUACGAGUCAUCGCGGUAGCUCGGGGUUCGAUUCCCCGUAUCCGAA